GACGAACCGUGCGAACGUUAUUCGGAAUCACUGGGCUUAAAGCGCGUGUAGGCGGCCCGGCACGUCUCUCGCUGAAAUCCCCGGCUCAACCGGGGAAGUGGCGGGGAUACGACCGGGCUGGAGGGGGGUAGGGGGGACGGGAACUUCCGGUGGAGCGGUGAAAUGCGUUGAGAUCGGAAGGAACGCCCGCGGCGAAAGCGCGUCCCUGGACCCCACCUGACGCU
Molecule: ribosomal RNA, 224 nt
Filed under: uncultured bacterium
Lineage: Bacteria
Description: partial 16S ribosomal RNA
Rfam family: Bacterial small subunit ribosomal RNA
Source: RNAcentral